Molecule: long non-coding RNA, 5367 nt
Organism: Scophthalmus maximus (turbot)
Lineage: Eukaryota; Metazoa; Chordata; Actinopteri; Pleuronectiformes; Scophthalmidae
Exons: 2
Source: RefSeq, a predicted model, not a curated record
UUGGUUCGCUAUAGUUGCCUACCCCAUCUUUAAGAGAGUUGAAUAUAUUCAAGAACAUUUGUCCAAAAAAACACUUCAACGUACAAAAAACCACGGCAUGUCAGUGUCUCUUGGAAAACGAAAUUUUUGUACUUCUACAAUCUAUUUUUCUCUUUCUUUUCCUCUUUUUGAUGGUACGUGACAUGACCUCCCCGGAGGACACGUUAGUCGACGGUUUUAUUUUAUUUAGUUUUGUUUGACUGCCGUCUUGAGCAUUUCCAAGUUAGUCUCUUUGUGUUUAUGAUUUGCCCCGUGGGCCGUAUUGGGCCCCAGAGGUCGGAGGUUUCCCUGACCCGGCUUUAAAUGAAUGUCUGUGCAAAGUUGAAAGUUGUUUGAUGAGGGUCAAAGGUUAAAAGAUGAACACGGUGACAUCAUUAGUCAUCCAUCCAAAACAGUAAACCAGACACGAGGCUUCAUGAUUUGGAUGAUAUUUCCUUUUUUUUAUUUACAUUUACAUUUUCUAUGACAUGAAAACCCCAAGUAAACCAUUGAUCAUCGUUAUAUCGGAGAUGGAAGUUUUUUCUUUUGUAAAAGAAAAAAGUUCUGUUUUAAAGUUUCUUCUUCCAACAAAGUAGAAAAAAUAUCAGCGUCCGCUUCCCUCCGUGCUCUCUCUGAAAGCGAACAGAGGGUGGAGGCAGUGAGGGGGCGGGACCCCGGGCGGGAGGUCAUCGGCGUAAGCUGACCUUUAGCCUCGUGUGCCCCGAGCGGCCGGCCGUGUUUGUUGUCUGUUGCUGUUGUUCUAAUGAGAGCAGCCGGUGUCGGGGUGAGCCGCUCGGUUUCUGCAGGUCACCGCAAAUAAACACGCGCAUUAGUCCGGGUAAUGGGUUCGGUGGGACGCCGCGCUCACAUUUACAAUGGUUGAUCUCUGAACUCUGAGUGCGCCAAGCUUGCAGGGCCGCGGAUCAUCAGAUGAGGGGAGUUUUUUCAGAGAGGAAGCGCUCGCUUCUGGUUUCAUUAGCGCCGCGACCCUGAGGGCCGUGCCUGAAGAGGCGGGGCCGGGGCAACACCCGGCGCUGGUCCGCUGCGUGCUCCUCCAUCACUCCGCUGAAUGGAUAAAUAAUUAGCGGUGCUCCCGCUCCUCGCCCUCCCACGCUGGGUUAAAGCCGCCUCUUUCUCACCUCGCUCGGGAGGAGAGGAAGGAAAAAACAGGGCUGCAGCCUGAGAUGCUUUCAGGAGGCCUUCGAAAUUACAGCGCUGCCGCUCCCUCCUCCUCCUCCUCCCUCACAACUGACCCUCAUUGGAGAUGGAUGAGCUGGGAUUCACCGGAACACAGCAGCUUCAAAAGGAAAGAGUGCAAAAAAAAACAACCUACGGCUGAAGAAGAUGCCAGAGCGCUUCAGACGGAUGUGGGCGGAAUUUACUGCUUCUCCAGAAAACGUCUGAACGGUUUCCACGGCGAUCUGACCGGUCGUCCGUCUCUCUUGCUGUGACAGAGCUGACUCUGCUCUGCGUUGACGUGAUGUUAAACAGCCGUUCGACAUCUUCACCUCCCGCGCGCCGCCUCACAGUAACCUUGCUCGCCUACUCGUGCACAGAGUGACCACAGGCAGAGAAGCCGCUCACUGCGGGAAUUCAACAGCUGACGUUUGCUCUGCUCAGCCAGAGACAAGAAGCAAAACACUGCAGACAAUCUUCUGCAACAGGUUGUUGUUUUGUGUAUUUUUCCUAAUGAAAAAGUCUGAUCCCUCAGAGGGACAAAAUAUGCCUCACACGGGGCGCCAACAUGUCCAGAGGGGGUCCUGCUUACUUGUUAGGAAAUGAGGAUGAAGGAAGAAUCCUAGGGAGCAAGACAAAAGCAAACUUGCUUUUUUUAGCAGAUCGGAAACAGCUCUGUGUCGGUGAGACAAUGAAAUACGAUGUUUAGUCUGAGCAACAGACCCAUUAAUUUGACGGUUUAUCAGAUGCCAGGAUGCUGAACGGCAGUUUAUAAUUCUCAGACAGAAAAGGGAAUUUCACAACUCCGGAAAGCUGCAGGUGUUUUGUUGCAACGAUUGCAAGGUUAACUGUAGAAAAUGUAAGGCCUCAAGUCAGAAUGAACAUGGAAGUAAGCAGAGCAGACUGAGGGACCAAGGGGCAAGGACGCUUUACAGUUAAUGAGCGAGGACAAUAAGGAAGCAUGUAGAACAGAGGCUUCCUUUUUAGCAGGAAAGAAUAGGAAGCAUCUAAGGCAGUAACACAAGUAAAAGGAUGCUCCCUAGUUAAGAAAGGAGGAACAAGGUUCCUUAGUUGAGAAACAUACAAGGACAAAGCUUCCUUUUAGAAAUUCUUAAAAGGAAAAUUAAGAUGACUUAUCAGUCUGUAUAUAUAUAUACAGUAUACAUACUGUAUAUAUAUAUAUAUAUAUGGCAGCUAAAUGUAAAUUAACCAUGUCAACAUAACCUGAUGCCUGAUAGAUAAUGUCGUAUUUUAAACCUGUAAUACAAAGAGCAUGGGGCGCUCAAGUCUUAUCUUUAACCAAUGAUUUAUUCAAGUGUUAUUUUAGGAAAAAGAUAUCUAUUAAUAAAAAUAAAAAAAAUGUUUUUUAUUCCACAAAAAUACUAUUUUUUAGGAUACAAAUUGCGGAGCAUUUAGGAGGAGGUGGUGGAGACCAAACACUGAGAUAAAAUAAAAUAACACUGCUCCACAUGAAUGAUCAAUGCUCUUUAAGUUCACUUAAAACAAAAAAUAAUAAUCAACUAUUGCCGGUUUAAGAAAAAACAAAGUGUCCUAGGUUGAAAGGAUAAGGAGCAAGAAAAUGUCCUAGUGUGAGAGUGAGAAAGAAAAGUGAGACAUGAGAAAAUAUCAUUGCGUCUCGUAAUAUUCACACAUAUGAAGCGGCAUUGUAGCUGUUCACUUCGCUGCCGUUGCCGUGACGCGAGUCGUCGAUGUGACCUGACGGCAGGUACGACGACCGGGUGAGAUCGACGGUUUCGGGAGAGCCGCCGAAACGCGACGUGCCCCUCUUUCAAUAUUUAAUCAGGAAGUGCAGCACAGGCCGCGGGUUAACAUUUCAUAAAACACAUUAGCAUUGAUUCGGCAGGCCCUGGCAGAUUAAAGUGGAUAAAGAGGAGGACGGAGGGAGUCGAUGAUUCGGUAACAACUGAGAGGUGAGUAAAGACGACGCGGAAGCUUUUGAACUUUUCCAUUUCUUUUUAAAAGGAAGUGCGACACAGACUCGGAUGUUUGUGAUCUGCGCUGUCGCCUGAAAGGACAACGGAGGAAUCAUUAAUCCACUUAGUGACACCUGCUCUUUUUCUCACCUCGGAUAUUCUUCCGACUCCUCAAGGCAGAAAUAGUCGAUUCGCAGAGAUAGAUCCUCCUCCACGUGCAGCUGCGGGUGACAAAAGGGCUGCAGGUGGGAAAUAAUUACAGAAAUUAAAGAAAGGAGCUAAUUAAUAGCUGUGGGGGGAAAGUCCAAUAAUAAGUCCAAUUUCACUUCUGAGUUGAGACGUUGGGAGUCGAUGCCUCAGCGUGAUAAAAACAUCACGUCGGCUUCUUUUGCCGCCUCGGAACAGCAGAAGAAUUAGUCGCUAAUUAGUAAAUACUACAGGAGGAAAUAUGCGGAAUGUUAUUUAAAUGAGGGCGCAUUUGACCCAGCUCACGGGAGACGCAAAAAUAUCUACGCUUGUUGUCGUUGGUUACGGAGAUGGGUGAUGGCGGGGGGGGGGGGGAGUGACAGGAGAGCAGGACCCCGAUGGUGGAAUCAAUCCGGGCGGCGCCGCGCUUCAGACGCGACGUGUCGCAGGGCGCCAGACACUCGGCAGAUGGUGAUGCCGAGUUCCAGCCGCUCGCCGGUGGGUGACGUUCAUCUGAGGCGAGUGAAGUGUUUGUAGCGCGUCGUCCAUAAAAACACGCCCAAGAAUUUCAGGCAGCAGGUUCGGCUCCAUCGUUCCAAAAACAACAAGGUCUCAUUUUGUUAUUUUUAGCAGCUUCCCCUUUAGAAAACCAGAAAAACGAAGGACGGAACUUCCUAAAGUCGGAAGAAGCGAGAUAGAAGCAAACUUUUUCUCAGAAGGAGGCGUCGCUCAGCUUUACGGGAAAUGUUCAAAUGUUGAGUUUCCCACUUCAGCGAACUUCAAGCGCCAUCUGGACUUCAGGUGCGUUUACUUCAAAGUUCGUUUUCUUCUGUGGAGAAAACAAAAACCCUAAAACUAGCUAGAGCUAAAAAAAAACAAAAGCACUGGGAUGUUUUUCUGCCGUCGCACACUUCACUACAACUUCCAGCUGCCGACACCUUCCGACGCGUUGAAAAUCUCCCGGGCGGAAAAAAGAAAAUGAUUAACAAAAAAUUCGAAAAUAAAAAAUCUCACAUUGGUCGGGGGUUGUGACGCGUGUGACGCGCGGCGUUAAUUGGCAGCCGAACGAUCAUGAUGAAUUCAUGCAGGAAUAACAGCGGAUUACUGCCGUUUAAUUAACGAUGCCGCGUCGACGCCGCCGCCGCCGCGGCAUCCAUAUUUAACGAGCAACAUCGCUAACAGGAACUGAUCGCUGAGCCUCCCAGCAUCAGGAACGAGCUGAGGACGCAGCACAGGCCGAUACAGUUGAACAGCAGCUACAGAGCAACAUGUUUGUCCAGCGUUCUCUCUCUUUUAGCUCCGUGUUUGGUCUCCACCGCCUCCUCAGGGAAACUUCUGCAGCCGCUAAACGCCGCGCUACAUGUUGACGAUCCUCAGACAUUAAACAUGAAAAGAUACGAGCCGAACCUCGCCGUGAAUCUCCGUGGAGAUGCAGAUUCAACUUUCCUUUCAAAAGACCAUUUAAUUUCCCGCUAUGGUGAAAUACUGCUUAAAGCCACAGACGCCGCAGACGUGUUAGCUUGAUAUUUGGUUGCGUUAACCUAUGUGCACAAUGAGAACACAUGGUGUUUCCGGUGUUUUAUUUUCUGCGAUGUCCGAUGGUUUUCACUGUCGACACCAUUCAACACAAGUUGUGAGUUAAAGGGGCAGUCGGCGAUUUUGGAUAAAGACAGUGGGCUGCUCGGGAGACAGACGCGCUUAUUGUGAGGUCAAAACCCCUGAGUCGUAGCGUCUGUCGCUAGCACGUCUAGCGUAGUUUUUUUGCGGCGCGGCCUGAACGGACAGCUAGGAAAUAUUCUCAGCAUUUUUUACAAAAAGGAACAUUGGAUUAAAAUCUCUAAAUCCCAAUCCACGGACACGCCCCCCGUCUCAUCGGACAUUGGAACUUUGUGUAAAAAAACUGAAUGAACAGGAAUCGUCCACAUGCGGCGCGGGCAAGACUUCCGGCGAGUGCAUUCUGCGAACAGGUGUUGGAAAAUAAAAAGUUUACCCAUAACUGUUCAAGUCAUUUAUGAAAACAUGACUAAAAAUUAAAAUCUUAAUUUCAAAAGAA